This 63-nucleotide transfer RNA is filed under the name Diaphanes mendax. RNAcentral describes it as "tRNA-Ile". The record is from RNAcentral. Lineage: Eukaryota; Metazoa; Arthropoda; Insecta; Coleoptera; Lampyridae.
AAUGUUGUGCCUGAGGAAAAGGGUUACUUUGAUAGAGUAAAUUAUACAAAUUUGUCAUCAUUA